AAGCAGCAAAUGGAAUGUUAAGAUGAAUGGAACUGAAAGAACAUAGUCCUCCUCUGUGGAAAAAAGUUCCUACAGAGAUGAAUGAAGCCCUGCAAUCUUCAUGGAACAUAAUUCAGUGAUGGAACUCCACAGAGGAACAGGACUGCCUGGAUACAAUGCCAUGUGGAACAGAGGAAUUUUUAUUCUUUUUACUCAACAGAAAAUAAAUAAAAGUAUAUUUUGCUAUUGUUUUACAAUGCA
Molecule: long non-coding RNA, 240 nt
Organism: Oenanthe melanoleuca
Lineage: Eukaryota; Metazoa; Chordata; Aves; Passeriformes; Muscicapidae
Exons: 2
Source: RefSeq, a predicted model, not a curated record